This is a long non-coding RNA of Phyllostomus hastatus (greater spear-nosed bat), 2911 nucleotides long. RefSeq lists it as uncharacterized. The transcript has 3 exons. The record is from RefSeq and is a predicted model, not a curated record. Lineage: Eukaryota; Metazoa; Chordata; Mammalia; Chiroptera; Phyllostomidae.
GAGUACAGUUGCAGACGGUAAGGGAACGCGAUCCCACAUUUUUAUACCUACUUUGGUGCGAUUCUCGCCACCCUCCCCUGAUUGGUCCUGCCCAGCAAGUCGGGCCUUUGCCUGAAGGAAGAAAUCUGCACAUUCUCCUCCUUCCCGAGACGACUGAGGCCAUACCGAGUGCUCUGAGUCAUCGCUAAUUUCAGGGCUGAAGUUCCAUACGGUGGGGCAAGAGGGAUUCCUGAGGCUAAGCUGAUGCCAUCUGGAGAGGAGCGAUCUGCCCCAGAAAGACAGCUUCUGCAAUAUAGGGGGAUGACUGAGCACAGUGAUUUGGCAACUGACCCUUCAGCUCUCUCUCCAGUCCACCAACCAGUCCACCAACCGCAGACUCUCCUUAUGCUGCUUUAGUUUGCUCUGCCCUCUUUUCACUGGAGCCCACGGCUGCAAAGUAACACCUUAGUGGACUGGGUACAUACCUAUGCCUCAGUGGCUAACCAAUCAGCAUGCCGGGUCUGCACUGAAAUCCCCCUGAGUACACCUACUGGCCUCCCAUGGCGCAUCUCUCUAACUUCAGUCUCAAAUUGGAGUUGGUUACAGCACCAGUGGAACAGUGCACAUUCUUUGCAUAACACAACCUGGACUGACAUCUACACUGGGGCAGAGCAGCAGUGUGAUUGGCCCCAGCUGGUAGUUGGCUACUUCAUAUGGGAUGACUUGGGGUGGCUCCUGGCUGAGGCAUAGAGUUGGCUGGACCAGCCCCCCCUUGGUAUUGAGAGCCCUAAAGUACAAGCCCAAGUGGGAUGGACUCCAAUAAAUCUGUGUCAGAAGCAUACUCUUAUGCAUUACUGGGAGGCAUGAAAUAACUCAUGGACUGCACUUCCUACUGGGGCCCUCUGGGUGUGUGGUUCAAACGGAUGGCCUAACCUACCUGGAAAUUGGACUGGCCGUUGUACCUGAAAAUGGCCCUAUUUGCCUCCUGGAGUUCAGAAAACUCUUGCAAUCCGGCCAACCAAUUGGGAAGCAUUUAGAGCAUGAUACUGUGUAAAGCAUGCUCCCUGGUGGUCUUACCCAUUAGUGAUUUUUUCUCUUCAAGCUGCUUCUUCAGUCACUAAAAUUGAAAUAACAGCUUUGGCUUUGCACACUGCUCAUGCGUUGAAUGCAACACAUAAUUUUCUCAACUGCUUGAAUGAGGAAGUGUAUCAAUUAAGAAAAGUAGCCUUACAAAAUCGUAUGGCCUUAAAUAUAUUCACUGCAUCACAGGGUGGGGGAUGUGCCCUAGUAGGGGUUGAAUGCUGUGUAUACAUUCCAAAUGUCCAUCAUAAUAUUAGCCAAGCUCCAUGGGCAUUAGCUUCUAAAACCCAUGCUAUGGAACACCUGACAGGUAAUCCCUGCAGGAAUGGUAGUUAGUGGUUCCUUGCUGUCUUGGGUGGCAGUGCUUGUGUUCUGGUUGCGUGCUGCUGCAGCAUUUGGGUGUAGGGCUCUGCCCUCCUCACCAAAGGACCCUCAUAGAAGACACCCUCAUGUAGAAUGUACAGCAAGGAACCCUGAAGGGGUAAAUUAUGGGGAAAAUGAGGUCUCUCAGGCUCCCUCACCCUUAUGUCCAGGCAACUAUGAUAAGCAGUACUCACAUACCCUUGAGCAUGGGCCUGCAUGUGCAGAAUCACACUUUGUUAUAUAAUAUCUUGGCAGCCUGCCAGCUUUGUGUCCAUUUAGUAUAUAAGGGAGUUGAGACUUCCCCCAGUACAACACUAAGUUUGUGGUGUGCGUGAAUCACCCCACCUCAAAAUAAAGGCAUGUCAGACAUCCCUAUGGCUCUGAAGUUUCUUCCAUCUGCCUGAAUCCCAUGUGAAUCUGCCUGGCUUUCAACAGCUGCAAGACAUACGUGUUUAUUGGCAUUUUUGUAUUUAUUGUGAAAUAUAUAUUCAUGUGUUGUUGAAUUUUUUCUUUUGUUUGUCUCUUUCUGAUGUUAGUAGUUUUAUCAUGUUCUUGUUAUUAAUCCAGAACAUGUUUUGUUCAUGUGAAAAAGAUUUAUCUCCUAGUUAUUUCUCAUCUUUUAACUUUGUCUAUAGUGUCAUUUAGCAUAUAUUUUAGUAAUGUUAAACAUGUUAAGUGAUGAUGUUUUAAUAAGAAAUUUAGCAGUCCUUUUUUGGUGACUAUUGCAUUUGUAACUUUGCUUAAGGCCUUCUAUACCACCAAGAUAUCAUUUGGAUUUAAGUUUAUAUGUUGGGAGGUAUCUAAUUUUAUUUUUUCCAAAUGUAUAUCUACUUUUUCCAAAAUGAUUUGUUCAAGUAGUUUAUUUUUUCCUAUAGACGUGAUAUAUCAUUUCAACUAUAUAUGCCCUUCCCAUAGAAUAGAACUUUUAUAGAAUUCCCACAUAGAAAUAGAUUCACAUGGAUCUAUUGCUUGCUUUAUUUUUCCCACCAAUUUGUUCAUUUUUAUACAAAUAACACAUGCAUUUUAAAUUUUGAUAGGCACUUAUUGUUAUUCAUUUAAAAAUUAUCCUAAUUAUACUUAUAUACUUUCUCUUUAGAAUCAGCUUGUAAAGUUCUACAAAAAGUCCUCAUGGCAUUUGAUUGGGAUUAUAUUGUGUUUAAUUAUCGAUUUGUGAAGAUGCCAUAUCUUCACAACACUAAUUUUUUUUACUUAUGAACAUGGCAUGUUUAUAUAAUUGUUUAUGUUUUCUUUUAUACCACUCAGUAAAACUUUAUACUGUUCUUCAUGUACAGUCAAUGUGUGACUUAAUUGGAUUUUUAAGGUAUUUUAUGGUUUUCAUUAUUUAUAUUUUGUAUUUAGUUAUUGCUGGAGUAAAGGUAAGCAACUCAUUUUUAUAGACUAGUUAUAUAGCCAACCACCAAACUGAACCCUCAUUAAUUCUAAUACUUAAUUUUCUAAGAUGUUUGGAAAUAUUAUUAUAUAAGCCAUA